UUUCUCGAGACGUGAGCGUGAGCUGCCUGUGAUGGCAUUAGUCGAACUUAGACUACGUACGUCGGAAACAAUAAUGAAUUAUAGCAGCGAAUUCGUCACUGAAGAGGCUGUUUCUUGGCUACAGUCGCAUGGAAUGAGACUUAAGAAAGGAAAGAAAAAGACGGUUGCGAUGGCCAAGAUCUCCUUGCCAUCGCCCAAGAUGCAGACGUACCAAGGCACUACAUCCCUAUUAUAAAAGAGCGUCUAAAGCUCAAGAAAUUGAUUGCAAUGAACGCUGAACCUAGAGAUGACACGAGUUCUUCGUCGCGUGCAGAAUCAAGUCCUUCGAGUAAGACGGUUCAAACGUCGAUUGAUGAUUCAGAUAACAUCAGCGAUUAUGAAAAUUUAGAGGUGAUAUUGGCACCGAAUGAAAAGGGUAAAUCGCCCAAGGAUCUCUGUUUUACGGACGAGGCG
This is a long non-coding RNA of Pocillopora damicornis (cauliflower coral), 453 nucleotides long. The record is from RefSeq and is a predicted model, not a curated record. NCBI's taxonomy places the organism in Eukaryota, Metazoa, Cnidaria, Anthozoa, Scleractinia, Pocilloporidae.